AUUGAACGCUGGCGGCAUGCCUUACACAUGCAAGUCGAACGGCAGCACGGGAGCAAUCCUGGUGGCGAGUGGCGAACGGGUGAGUAAUAUAUCGGAACGUGCCCAGUCGUGGGGAUAACGUAGCGAAAGCUACGCUAAUACCGCAUACGAUCUACGGAUGAAAGCGGGGGAUCGCAAGACCUCGCGCGAUUGGAGCGGCCGAUAUCAGAUUAGGUAGUUGGUGAGGUAAAGGCUCACCAAGCCAACGAUCUGUAGCUGGUCUGAGAGGACGACCAGCCACACUGGGACUGAGACACGGCCCAGACUCCUACGGGAGGCAGCAGUGGGGAAUUUUGGGACAAUGGGCGCAAGCCUGAUCCAGCAAUGCCGCGUGCAGGAUGAAGGCCUUGGUUGUAAACUGCUUUGUUACGGUAACGGAAAACGGUACGUUA
RNAcentral lists this ribosomal RNA (431 nucleotides) under uncultured bacterium. RNAcentral's name for it is "bacterial SSU rRNA". It matches the Rfam family "Bacterial small subunit ribosomal RNA", at positions 30 to 463 of the family's 1533-position model. The record is from RNAcentral.